GUCCUACUCGCUCCAUUCCAAAGUACUUGUCUUAGAUUUGUCUAGAUACGGAAAUAUCUAGCACUAAAAUGAGUCUAGAUACAUCCGUAUCUAAACAAGUCCAAGACAAAUAAUUCGGAACGGAGAGAGUAUAAU
Triticum aestivum (bread wheat) is the source of this 135-nucleotide non-coding RNA. The record is from Rfam. Lineage: Eukaryota; Viridiplantae; Streptophyta; Magnoliopsida; Poales; Poaceae.